RNAcentral lists this ribosomal RNA (450 nucleotides) under uncultured bacterium. RNAcentral's name for it is "partial 16S ribosomal RNA". It matches the Rfam family "Bacterial small subunit ribosomal RNA", at positions 354 to 796 of the family's 1533-position model. The record is from RNAcentral.
GUGGGGAAUAUUCCGCAAUGGACGAAAGUCUGACGGAGCAACGCCGCGUGAGUGAUGAAGGUUUUCGGACUGUAAAGCUCUGUUGUUUAGGACGAAAGUGCCUGUUGCGAACAGUUACAGGUAUUGACGGUACUAAACGAGGAAGCCACGGCUAACUACGUGCCAGCAGCCGCGGUAAUACGUAGGUGGCAAGCGUUGUCCGGAAUUAUUGGGCGUAAAGAGCAUGUAGGCGGAGAUUUAAGUCUGUUGUGAAAAUGCGGGGCUCAACCCCGUAUUGCGAUGGAAACUGAAUUUCUUGAGUGCAGGAGAGGAAAGGGGAAUUCCGAGUGUAGCGGUGAAAUGCGUAGAUAUUGGGAGGAACACCAGUGGCGAAGGCGCCUUUCUGGACUGUGUCUGACGCUGAGAUGCGAAAGCCAGGGUAGCGAACGGGAUUAGAUACCCCUGUAGUCC